AGGAUCAUUACCGAACUCGUGAUUACACGAACACACUGUGCACUUGGUCGCGCAGCAGCGCGCCCGCGUGUCUCUGCUCCUGUCGGGGUCGGUCUGUCCUUGUACAGUGCCGGUAAAUCGUCGCAACCUAUGGGCGACGAGCCCCGAGAGCAAGCAGUGCGCGCGAGUUCGCUGCCUGCGCGGUUGCCUUCACCGCACUCCCGUCAAACGGAGCGCAACGUUUUUAAACCACAAGCAAAUUUGCAGACUGAACUGUGUUGGUCAGCGAUUACAUGAAAGCUUGUCUUUGUGAAGUCGCUUGCCCAAUGGCAAUGCAAAUGUAACAAAUGACAACUUUCAACGGUGGAUCUCUUGGCUCGUGGAUCGAUGAAGAACGCAGCAAAACGCGAUAUGUAGUGUGAAUUGCAGAAUUCAGUGAAUCAUCGAAUUUUUGAACGCAAAUGGCGCUCCUGGGUAUUCCCAGGAGCAUGUCUGUCUCAGUGUCGUUUUCACCUCGAGCGCGCUUUGGCGCGGUGGUCAUGAGGCGUCUGAGCUGCACUCUUCGCGAGAGCGCCCAGUCCCUUGAAAUGCAGUGGCCGGACGCCGACUGCAAGGUUUCCCGGGCCAGGUUCGCCCCGGACCUGCUCGCACGGCUGAUUCUAGUUCGUGUCGCAGCAGCCGCGGUGCGCACCUGUGCCAGCACAGUGGGCCUUGCGUGUUCGCGCCAGUCCGAACAAAGCCAACUCUGGAAAACGCAUGAGCUGCUUGUCCUUUGCUGGUUGCGUGCGUGCGUGCGUGCGCGCGCAAUCUGCCAAAGGUGAGCUCUCCAUCUUCGACCUGAGAUCAGGCA
RNAcentral lists this ribosomal RNA (829 nucleotides) under Leucascus simplex. RNAcentral describes it as "eukaryotic LSU rRNA". The stretch from base 332 to 485 matches the Rfam family "5.8S ribosomal RNA". Lineage: Eukaryota; Metazoa; Porifera; Calcarea; Clathrinida; Leucascidae. The record is from RNAcentral.